RNAcentral lists this ribosomal RNA (429 nucleotides) under Bacillota bacterium. Its description in RNAcentral is "Firmicutes bacterium partial 16S ribosomal RNA". It matches the Rfam family "Bacterial small subunit ribosomal RNA", at positions 355 to 776 of the family's 1533-position model. Lineage: Bacteria; Bacillati; Bacillota. The record is from RNAcentral.
UAGGGAAUCUUCGGCAAUGGACGGAAGUCUGACCGAGCAACGCCGCGUGAGGGAAGAAGGUUUUCUGAUCGUAAAGCUCUGUUGUUAGAGAAGAACGUUGGUAGGAGUGGAAAAUCUACCACGUGACGGUAACUAACCAGAAAGGGACGGCUAACUACGUGCCAGCAGCCGCGGUAAUACGUAGGUCCCGAGCGUUGUCCGGAUUUAUUGGGCGUAAAGCGAGCGCAGGCGGUUCUUUAAGUCUGAAGUUAAAGGCGGUGGCUUAACCAUUGUACGCGAUGGAAACUGGAGGAGUAGAGUGCAGAAGGGGAGAGUGGAAUUCCAUGUGUAGCGAUGAAAUGCGUAGAUAUAUGGAGGAACACCGGUGGCGAAAGCGGAUGUCUGGUCUGUAGCUGACGCUGAGGCUCGAAAGCGUGAGGAGCAAACAGG